This 495-nucleotide ribosomal RNA is filed under the name uncultured bacterium. RNAcentral describes it as "partial 16S ribosomal RNA". It matches the Rfam family "Bacterial small subunit ribosomal RNA", at positions 28 to 507 of the family's 1533-position model. The record is from RNAcentral.
GACGAACGCUGGCGGCGUGCCUAAUACAUGCAAGUAGAACGCUGAAGGAGGAGCUUGCUUCUCUGGAUGAGUUGCGAACGGGUGAGUAACGCGUAGGUAACCUGCCUGGUAGCGGGGGAUAACUAUUGGAAACGAUAGCUAAUACCGCAUAAUAGUAGAUGUUGCAUGACAUUUGCCUAAAAGGUGCAAUUGCAUCACUACCAGAUGGACCUGCGUUGUAUUAGCUAGUUGGUGGGGUAACGGCUCACCAAGGCGACGAUACAUAGCCGACCUGAGAGGGUGAUCGGCCACACUGGGACUGGGACACGGCCCAGACUCCUACGGGAGGCAGCAGUAGGGAAUCUUCGGCAAUGGACGGAAGUCUGACCGAGCAACGCCGCGUGAGUGAAGAAGGUUUUCGGAUCGUAAAGCUCUGUUGUAAGAGAAGAGCGAGUGUGAGAGUGGAAAGUUCACACUGUGACGGUAUCUUACCAGAAAGGGACGGCUAACUACGUG